AGUGAACGCUGGCGGUAGGCCUAACACAUGCGAGUCGAACGGCAGCACAGUAAGAGCUUGCUCUUACGGGAGGCGAGUGGCGGACGGGUGAGGAAUACAUCGGAAUCUACUUUUUCGUGGGGGAUAACGUAGGGAAACUUACGCUAAUACCGCAUACGACCUACGGGUGAAAGAAGGGGAUCUUCGGACCUUGCGCGAUUGAAUGAGCCGAUGUCGGAUUAGCUAGUUGGCGGGGUAAAGGCCCACCAAGGCGACGAUCCGUAGCUGGUCUGAGAGGAUGAUCAGCCACACUGGAACUGAGACACGGUCCAGACUCCUACGGGAGGCAGCAGUGGGGAAUAUUGGACAAUGGGCGCAAGCCUGAUCCAGCCAUACCGCGUGGGUGAAGAAGGCCUUCGGGUUGUAAAGCCCUUUUGUUGGGAAAGAAAAGCAGCAGGUUAAUACCCCGCUGUUCUGACGGUACCCAAAGAAUAAGCACCGGCUAACUUCGUG
RNAcentral lists this ribosomal RNA (492 nucleotides) under uncultured bacterium. RNAcentral describes it as "partial 16S ribosomal RNA". It matches the Rfam family "Bacterial small subunit ribosomal RNA", at positions 29 to 507 of the family's 1533-position model. The record is from RNAcentral.